UGAGACUCCGUCUAAAAAUGAAAGUGGCAUCUGAUACAGAGAAGAUUAGCAUGGCCCCUGCUCAAGGAUGACACACAAAUUUGUGAAGGGUUCCAUUUAAAA
This is a non-coding RNA of Gorilla gorilla gorilla (western lowland gorilla), 102 nucleotides long. NCBI's taxonomy places the organism in Eukaryota, Metazoa, Chordata, Mammalia, Primates, Hominidae. The record is from Rfam.